Molecule: ribosomal RNA, 254 nt
Filed under: uncultured bacterium
Lineage: Bacteria
Description: partial 16S ribosomal RNA
Rfam family: Bacterial small subunit ribosomal RNA
Source: RNAcentral
UACGUAGGGUGCGAGCGUUGUCCGGAAUUAUUGGGCGUAAAGAGCUCGUAGGCGGUGUGUCGCGUCGGCCGUGAAAACCUGCAGCUUAACUGUGGGCUUGCGGUCGAUACGGGCAUCACUGGAGUUCGGCAGGGGAGACUGGAAUUCCUGGUGUAGCGGUGAAAUGCGCAGAUAUCAGGAGGAACACCGAUGGCGAAGGCAGCUCGCUGGGACGGUACUGACGCUGAGGCGCGAAAGCGUGGGGAGCAAACAGG